RNAcentral lists this ribosomal RNA (117 nucleotides) under Ailuropoda melanoleuca (giant panda). RNAcentral describes it as "similar to 28S ribosomal RNA". Lineage: Eukaryota; Metazoa; Chordata; Mammalia; Carnivora; Ursidae. The record is from RNAcentral.
GGGAACCUAGUGCUAAACCAAUUUUUAGAUGACCUGCUUCUGGGUCAGGGUUUUGUACUUAGCAAAGCAGCUCCUAGCUGUGAUCUAUUGAAAGUCAGCCCUCAACACAAGGGUUUG